GAUUGUUGAGAUGAAUUUCCAUAUUCUAAUAAUAUCAAAUUUAUAGUGAACUAAUCAUUAUAUCAAAAGUUAUGCAUAAAAUAAAUCUACGGGUCCAUGAAUUAGUGUUUUUGUUUUUUCAUAACUUAGGCCAUAUCAAUUCGCAUAAAUUUCCAGAUUUGAUAUACAUAUAUUCAUGUAAUUAUAAACCAAAAAUCAAGGCCUAAUAGUGAACGAUACAUCAUGUACUAUUAAAGAGUGUUCUAGAUGCGAAAUCAUAUAUAACAUCAAAUAAAAUGGCAUGUCUCAUGCAAAUACAUUCAAAAUAUCUAAUACUUUCUAUGUAUUUUCAUGUCUUUUACACACACUUAUUUUA
This 355-nucleotide long non-coding RNA is filed under the name Citrus sinensis (sweet orange). RNAcentral describes it as "long non-coding RNA (CSIN_LNC001863)". The record is from RNAcentral. Lineage: Eukaryota; Viridiplantae; Streptophyta; Magnoliopsida; Sapindales; Rutaceae.